RNA transcript from Manduca sexta (tobacco hornworm), 858 nucleotides. RefSeq lists it as uncharacterized. The transcript has 5 exons. Lineage: Eukaryota; Metazoa; Arthropoda; Insecta; Lepidoptera; Sphingidae. The record is from RefSeq and is a predicted model, not a curated record.
GAACCGUCACUGUGUUUGCUCGUGUUGUUAUCUCUAUUAUAGUGUCAUAUUCUCUUUGUUGUUACCCAAAAUUAUAUCGUUUAAAAAUGUCUGUUUGUGUCUUUAAAGUGUGCAGAAACUAUAAAGGUCGAUCUAAAACAACGCAUAAUGUCACCUAUCACCGAAUACCAAGUGAUCCUAUAAUGAGAAGCCGAUGGACACAGAUUAUACAGAGAAGUCGCUGUGAGGAAUUGUGGAAACCAUCAAAAUAUUCUUUGGUUUGCUCUGACCAUUUCAAUAAAAAUGAAAUGUAUUUUGUAAAUAAUGAAGGACGCCGAAGAUUAAAAAAACAGCGGUUCCAUGUAAGGCUUUAUUUUUAUCGUCAGUGCAAUCUGACGGCAGUGAUAUUGUCACCGAUGAAGAAAUAAAUAAUUCUUCCAUAGCUUUUGAUGCUGGAUCUGGUAUUUCAAGAGAUAAACCACACAUAAACUUCGUAGACAUGAGGAACACAUCAAACGCUCCAGAGAAUACAGGUCAUUGGCAACAUACGAAAAAUACUUCGAACGAUACAGAAAUUGAGACUGAAGUCUAUGAAGAAUUUUCAGACCUCGAUUCAGUUUUCGAUACACCAAAGGAAGCAAAAUUAAGACGGGAUUUACACAGAAAAAAUAUUCUUCAAAGAAAACAUAUAUUAAAGAUACAAUCACUUAGACGAAAAAUUAUACGAUUGAAAAAGAAGAUUACCACUUAUAAAGAAAUUAUAGGAAACCUUAAAAAAGAAAAAUAAAACGUACUAAGUAUAAAACUAUAUAAUCAUAUAUGGGAGGGGAUUAGUUAAAACAAAUACUACUUUUCAAGUAAAGUGCUUGUUUAAGAAUU